CUUAACACAUGCAAGUCGAGGGGCAUCAGUUUGGUUUGCUUGCAAACCAAAGCUGGCGACCGGCGCACGGGUGAGUAACACGUAUCCAACCUGCCUCAUACUCGGGGAUAGCCUUUCGAAAGAAAGAUUAAUAUCCGAUAGCAUAUAUUUCCCGCAUGGGUUUUAUAUUAAAGAAAUUCGGUAUGAGAUGGGGAUGCGUUCCAUUAGUUUGUUGGCGGGGUAACGGCCCACCAAGACUACGAUGGAUAGGGGUUCUGAGAGGAAGGUCCCCCACAUUGGAACUGAGACACGGUCCAAACUCCUACGGGAGGCAGCAGUGAGGAAUAUUGGUCAAUGGACGCGAGUCUGAACCAGCCAAGUAGCGUGAAGGAUGACUGCCCUAUGGGUUGUAAACUUCUUUUAUAUGGGAAUAAAGUGGUCCACGUGUGGAUUUUUGUAUGUACCAUAUGAAUAAGGAUCGGCUAACUCCGUGCCAGCAGCCGCGGUAAUACGGAGGAUCCGAGCGUUAUCCGGAUUUAUUGGGUUUAAAGGGAGCGUAGGCGGAUUGUUAAGUCAGUUGUGAAAGUUUGCGGCUCAACCGUAAAAUUGCAGUUGAUACUGGCAGUCUUGAGUGCAGUAGAGGUGGGCGGA
RNAcentral lists this ribosomal RNA (630 nucleotides) under uncultured Bacteroidales bacterium. Its description in RNAcentral is "bacterial SSU rRNA". It matches the Rfam family "Bacterial small subunit ribosomal RNA", at positions 47 to 665 of the family's 1533-position model. The record is from RNAcentral. Lineage: Bacteria; Pseudomonadati; Bacteroidota; Bacteroidia; Bacteroidales.